AGCCCCAUGGUGUAGUGGUCAAUCAUCUCGGAUUUUGGGUCCGAGGACGGCAGUUCGAAUCUGCCUGGGGCUA
This 73-nucleotide transfer RNA is filed under the name Candidatus Woesearchaeota archaeon B3_Woes. RNAcentral's name for it is "tRNA-Gln". It matches the Rfam family "tRNA". From Rfam's summary of the family: Transfer RNA (tRNA) molecules are approximately 80 nucleotides in length. Lineage: Archaea; Nanobdellati; Candidatus Woesearchaeota. RNAcentral also lists the same sequence under 1 other name. The record is from RNAcentral.